Molecule: ribosomal RNA, 378 nt
Filed under: uncultured bacterium
Lineage: Bacteria
Description: bacterial SSU rRNA
Rfam family: Bacterial small subunit ribosomal RNA
Source: RNAcentral
ACAGAGGAGCCAAGCGUUGUCCGGAUUGACUGGGCGUAAAGCGCACGCAGGCGGAUGCGCGCGUGGGGUGUGAAAUCUGGCCGCUUAACGGCCAGGCGCCAUCCCAUACGGCGCGUCUGGAGUGAUGCAGAGGUCGAUGGAAUUGCCGGUGUAGUGGUGAAAUGCGUAGAGAUCGGCAGGAACACCCAGGGGGAAACCAGUCGACUGGGCAUCUACUGACGCUGAGGUGCGAGAGCGUGGGGAGCGAACCGGAUUAGAUACCCGGGUAGUCCACGCCGUAAACGAUGGCCACUCGGCCUUUGGUGGCGGAAUCUCCGUCGCUGGGGGCCUUAGCUAACGCGGGAAGUGGCCCGCCUGGGAACUACGAGCGCAAGCUUA